UUUAAUGGGUGAUUAUUUUCAGAUCCAUCCAGUCCACUAGACUUGUGAAGUCUGAUUGUGUAGUGUUUAUCAUCAAUAUAUUGUGCAUACAUGAAAUACACCAUGUGUCACCAGAAAUUCAUCAAAUCAUAGAGAAAGCUCCUUUUAGUCUAUUGGCCUUGUCACUGCUAAUCUAGAUGAACUAUAGUGGUAGUGGAGGAAAAAAAUCAAGAUGGAUGGAUUUCCAUAGCUUAUUAGCCAAAGUCAUCGACUAAGUUGAUUCUCUCAUUCUAGAGUCUCACUCUUGCCCGUGCUCCUAGUUCAGGCAACCAAACUUCGUAUUCCUUGGGCAUAUUCAUUAUUGUCGAGGAAAUCUGGAUCCUCUCAUUAAUGUCCAGAUCUUGUGCUUGGUAUUUCAACUUUUUAGCUUUUAGAUGCGAAGAUUUAAUUUUUAAAAUCUUGAGGGACUUUAUAUUUUAAAUUUUCAAAGAUGAAAUAUAGAAGAGUGGGAUCUUAUUCAUAUCUUCAAUAAUUUGACUAUAUUCAUAUAUGGGAUCUUCAUUUGACAUUUUUGUCAUCUCAUAAUUUUAUUGUAAUUUUGUAGGUUAGGUCCUGAUUUUUAUGGUUAUCUAAUGGAAGAUGCAAGAAUACGGGAUACAUAUGAUGUUCUUCUAGGAUAUUCCCAGUGGCAACAUCAUCAUGGAAAGAAUAUAAAGUGCCGCUCUCUUACCAAUUCAAUGCAACUAACAGUAGGGGUUUGGAAAAAUUAAGGUGAUGAACUACAAAAGUAGAACAAGAAAAGAAGAAAUGGGAGGAUAACUUUGCAGUUCUGAGGAGAGGUUUAACUUGAAAUACAAGAGAAAUUGUAAUGAAAUUCAUUACAAAAUAACCAAUAAAACUGCAUAAUUUUAAAUAACACUUGCAUUGAUAUAUGGAGACUCAUUGACUAGCCUAUGCGAGAACUUUGGUGACUUUUGGACUACGACAGUUAAUAUUUAUUUUGAUCAAGGAUUUGAAUAUCAUUGCUAGGAUAUGGUACCACUGAUACUACCAUAUUGUUCUGACAGCAUCCAAAUGCUGUUACAGGGUGCGGGGCACUAAAAUUGGCCUGGACUGAUGUGUAGCAGACAUCUUUUCCAAGCUGAUAUUUGCAAUGUAAUUUUUGAAUUAAAAUUUUGGUAUAGAAUUAAUUAAAAGAUAAAAAUAUAUUAUAUAUAAAAAAAUUGGAAUAGAGAGAUGAUCUAUAGCUGUUUUAGAAGGUAGUUAUAUCAUGCAUUUAAGUAAUUAUCGAAAUUAACAAUUUCAAUUGAUUUAUUUGGAGAGAAGGAAGCAAUUUCUUCAAUCCGCUCAACUUUGACCUCUUAAAAGAGAAAUAUUAGAAAAUAAGAAAAUUACAAAAGUAGGGUUCUAAGUCCUCUUUCCUUUCAUUAAUCAGAUAAUAAAACUGAUCACAAUCUUUAUAUUAGUGAGGUCUAGGUCCCCUAAAUAUGGAUCGCGUUCUCUUCUAAGUAAAAGAGGUUACAGCUUUCCAUAAAUAGUUGUGGCUAGUCAAAAUAAUCAUGUUAUCCUAAAAUCCCAUUAGUGUUAGAUCUUAACUUCUAUAUUAACUUUGUAUUUGUCGCAUUGCCUAAUUUGUAGCAACCUAGGAUUUCAAAGGCUUAGCUGGAAGGUAUUGUUUGGAUUGUUUGGCUGUAUUUAAAUAAACAAGAUCUACCUAGUGCAUAGCCAAUGUGGGACUAAACGCAUGCCUGCACAUGUUACUUUUAGUGGUAAUGUGUUCUAGAGAAAAGUGAAAAGGAUGAUAUGUUCAAGCAGCUGCAUGUGUGAGAUUCUAGAUUGGGGGCGGCACCAAAUAUAUGAUAACAGUGAAAUCAAAACUGAAAUGUAAUCUUGACCGUAUAUAAGAAGGUUUACAUAAUAAUAACUUUUUUUCAUGUGUGUAUGCGAUAAAAUACAGAUAGAAGUUACUCAAUUUUGGGAAACAUGUUGCCUUCGUUGUUAAGUUGUUGUGUAUAACAUUUUUUUUUUUUUGGGAUACACAUUCGAACUAAGUUAGAAUCAUUAUUGUAAUUUGUUAGCAUGGUAUCGAAGUAGUGUCCUAUCUCCUUUUUAUCAUCAUAUUCUUUUUCUUUCUUAUAUAACUAAUGACUAAGACCACCUGAGUUUAUUUAAGAUUUUUCUAGAAGGAAUAGAUGCUUCAAGUUACAUGCCAUGCAUGUAUCGGAUAUGCAUUUGAUACAUAUCAAGUAUUGAUAUCAAAAUCAUAAGUUCAAUCCUCAGGAACAAUUCAGUUAGUAGAGAUUAGGAGUUGGGAAAGAAUCUGGCAAAUUUGUCAAAAGCUUGGAAAGAGCUUGGAUGAGCUAAAUUAGCAUAGCAAAACAAAAACUUUAAGCUUUUU
This 2377-nucleotide long non-coding RNA is filed under the name Elaeis guineensis (African oil palm). Its description in RNAcentral is "long non-coding RNA (EGUI_LNC079669)". The record is from RNAcentral. Lineage: Eukaryota; Viridiplantae; Streptophyta; Magnoliopsida; Arecales; Arecaceae.